GAUGGUCUUACUCCAUACACUAAGUGUCUCAGGUACCUUACAAGGACCUUCUUGUUUCUCCUAGCAGAAUUUGUCAAGGUGGAUAUCUGAUUAAAGAUGGGAGAAAUGUAUGCUUUCUCCUGGGAAUGUAAAAAGAAAGCACAGAUGUAGUCAGAAUUGAGUUUGCAUUUCAAUGGCAUUGAGAGUUGUAUUGUGAAGACCUGGUAAUCCACAGACCUUCAUAACCUACAGUCAUGGAGAAGCAGCAGAUAUGGCACAUCACUAAUAAAACUCAUCAACUAUGGAGCUGUUUCCCUAGGGUAUUUUCCAAGAAAUUCACAUGUAAAUCCAGGCAGUGAAGCGGGGCUUCUUUCAGUAAGAUCUGAAAUGUCAAAACAGGUAAAAUGUUCAGAAGGUGAAACAUUCUCAAAGUUGAGAGCCACAUCAGUCUCUCUGCUUCAGUUUGGGGGACACAAGUUGAUCAUCAUGAUGAGGAAGAAUGUUGGGGAGGUUUAGAGUGUGGAGCUUGGAGCCAGGGUAUUUAGGUGCAAAUCCUGAUUAUGC
This 543-nucleotide long non-coding RNA is filed under the name Chinchilla lanigera (long-tailed chinchilla). RNAcentral describes it as "lncRNA (ENSCLAG00000028954.1)". Lineage: Eukaryota; Metazoa; Chordata; Mammalia; Rodentia; Chinchillidae. The record is from RNAcentral.